GCUGCGGCAUCAUGGACUGAGCGGCUGUGGUGACGGUGGAGAUGUUGGGCUGGUUGAGCUUCACCCCCGAUAGCGACGGAAUGGACGGCUGGCCAGCGAACGGCGGGCCCGCGUUGACCAUCUCUACGACUGGAGGAGAGAGCUGCCUCCACAACCAUCUGUGCAGCCACCUGAGCAGCAGUCAUGGUUGGUGGAUUCUGGAUUCAAAUGGAAGACAAAGCAACGUAAAAUAUUUUAGCCACGGCAGCCAGACGCAAAUCGGCGUGAGUUAAGACGGCCGACGCUGGCCACCGGCCAGGCACCUGGUAAGGAUGUGCAGCGCUCAUGGGGGGAGGAGCUUGUGGGCCCCCGACCAUAGGCUGAUUGACAGUCAGCGGCUGAGGCGGCAAGACAGGCUUCAUAGGCCCGGGACCUCCGGCCGAUGACACUGCGCAACAUGGAAAAAUGUUUUAUUUGCAUGCUUGAUCACAUCACUUUUCUGGUGAAAGUGUAGAGGGGAUGAGGAAAAAAGAAGGAUCCCAGUCACGAGUGUGACUUACCAGGCAGUGAAAUGCCCCUGACCAACACCAUGUCUGGGCUGUAGUCUGGAUGAGGCUCCACAACGCCCCCUACUGGAGACGCCCGUUCAAACAGAGCUCUCAGGGCAGGCAGCUUUCUGGGGGCCACCACCGAGAAGUGGAUUCCUCUCUGGAAAGAAGACAUUGAUGGGAACAUCAUCUGGCUUGCAAACAUCACAAGCGCUCGGGAGAACUCACGUCUCUGAUGAUCUUGACGAGGUUGUCGGCGGUGCAGCCUGUGUAGCUGACGCUCUCCACGGCCGGAAGCAGGUACGGCGGAGAGUUACACAGCAGGACGCACACUUUGUGUGUCUGACCUCUGGUGAUGGGAGGAGAAAAGUGACAUGGCAGCAGGGACGUGUUUCUAUUUCAUUUAUACAUUGCAUUAAUUUCAUGUGGCCGCCUAUAUGUAACCGGACUGUGUGUGAAGAAUCUCACAUUUGUUCCCGCAUCUUCUUGAAGUCGUCAAAGAGCUGCAAGGCUACUGAGAGCCCUUCCGCAAUAAGACUACAACUCUCUGCUCCGCCCCCCAUGAAUCUGGGUGGAAAAGUAGGUGAACACUUGAGAUUCCCCACUUGAAACACAGCGCGUGCGUAGCCAAAAGGUGCACUCACUGGAUGCUGUCGAUCCAGGAGACAAACUCGAAAGCCGAGCUGGUGGGAGCGUGACACUGCACGUACGAUUCGGGGGCACAGUCCACCGUGUUGAACACCACCAGGCCGUACUGAGUCCCCCCGUACUGGGGGAGGUCGCAGAUGACAAAGGAAAAAAAAGCAGAGGGAUUAACACUGUCGUGGAAAUGUUGCAAAGCAAGCUGCUAAAUGUGAACAGAUAAUACGGUCGUUCUCA
Molecule: long non-coding RNA, 1406 nt
Organism: Syngnathus typhle (broad-nosed pipefish)
Lineage: Eukaryota; Metazoa; Chordata; Actinopteri; Syngnathiformes; Syngnathidae
Exons: 2
Source: RefSeq, a predicted model, not a curated record